Molecule: ribosomal RNA, 484 nt
Filed under: uncultured bacterium
Lineage: Bacteria
Description: partial 16S ribosomal RNA
Rfam family: Bacterial small subunit ribosomal RNA
Source: RNAcentral
AUUGAACGCUGGCGGCAGGCCUAACACAUGCAAGUCGAGCGGAUGAAGGGAGCUUGCUCUUGGAUUCAGCGGCGGACGGGUGAGUAAUGCCUAGGAACCUGCCUAGUAGUGGGGGAUAACGUCGCGAAACGGGCGCUAAUACCGCAUACGUCCUGAGGGAGAAAGCGGGGGAUCUUCGGACCUCACGCUAUCAGAUGAGCCUAGGUCGGAUUAGCUAGUUGGUGGGGUAACGGCCUACCAAGGCGACGAUCCGUAACUGGUCUGAGAGGAUGAUCAGUCACACUGGAACUGAGACACGGUCCAGACUCCUACGGGAGGCAGCAGUGGGGAAUAUUGGACAAUGGGCGAAAGCCUGAUCCAGCCAUGCCGCGUGUGUGAAGAAGGUCUUCGGAUUGUAAAGCACUUUAGGUUGGGAGGAAGGGCAGUAAGUUAAUACCUUGCUGUUUUGACGUUACCUACAGAAUAAGCACCGGCUAACUUCGUG